UAAACAAAGCACCUAAGAUGGAGACCCCUAAAGCCCUAGUGGCAGCAAGGAUGACUCAGUUGGAGCAGAGAAAGUCCCUUGUCCAAGGUGUCCUCUCCACAGGAAAUGUCCCCUUUUCCAAGAAGGGUUCCUACCUGAUGUGGGACACAAAGAGGGCCCUGCUUCCGCAGUCCGGGCCUCUAGAGUGCCA
Molecule: non-coding RNA, 190 nt
Organism: Ceratotherium simum simum (southern white rhinoceros)
Lineage: Eukaryota; Metazoa; Chordata; Mammalia; Perissodactyla; Rhinocerotidae
Source: RefSeq, a predicted model, not a curated record